CUCCUACCUACACUGCUCUCAGCUCUUUCACAAAUUGGUAGUUAACAUAAAGAUGGAGUAGGCUAUUCGGUUGCAGCUUGUACUUGUAAGGCGAACUCUCCAUCCAACUCAGCACGCCGCCCGUAACAUCUGUUUUUUUAAAACAUAAUAAAUAGUUCCGACGCUCAAAGGUUUCCUUUCCUGUACCAGCGUCUGGGUUCCGGGCAGCGUUUGAAGGCCCUGUACUUGGUUCCGGUCCGAGUGGCGUUAGGUUAAAACGGUUGCUUUCUUGGAGGCCGCGUGCAAGGGGCUCGUGGCCGGGGAGCGCGGGCAGAAGAAAGGCCAGGCCUGGAAAGUGGAGCUGCCGCUGUGGAGAGGAGGUGCACCAACUGUCAGCAUCGCUUGGAGCAACGAGGCGACCAGGCGGGGAUUAAGUGCAAAAGAAAACGCGCGCAGCACUAAUGAAAACUGAUACAACCUCUGUGAAUGGAAUUGGAGCAGUUAGAAAUGUUUUAACUCGAGCAACAAAGUGAGGAAACUAAUCUAACAGUACGUAAGUGAAAAGCAGCUGAAGAAUGACAUCUGAAAAUAUUCUUGAAAAGGACUGGUAUGAAAUUCUUGGUGCGAGUCCAUCACACAGUAUGCAGGAGCUCAGACAAAGUUAUCAGAGACUGGCCCUAUU
RNA transcript from Rhincodon typus (whale shark), 661 nucleotides. It is a transcript of the gene named DnaJ (Hsp40) homolog, subfamily C, member 24, with no coding region annotated. The transcript is spliced from 3 exons. NCBI's taxonomy places the organism in Eukaryota, Metazoa, Chordata, Chondrichthyes, Orectolobiformes, Rhincodontidae. The record is from RefSeq and is a predicted model, not a curated record.